ACAUGCAAGUCGAACGAACUUAACCAUUAGUUUACUAUUGGAGCGGUUAGUGGCGGACUGGUGAGUAACACGUAAGCAACCUGCCUAUCAGAGGGGAACAACAGUUAGAAAUGACUGCUAAUACCGCAUAUGCCUUAGAAUCACAUGGUUCAAAAGGGAAAGGAGCAAUCCGCUGAUAGAUGGGCUUGCGUCUGAUUAGCUAGUUGGUGGGGUAACGGCCUACCAAGGCGACGAUCAGUAGCCGAACUGAGAGGUUGAACGGCCACAUUGGGACUGAGAUACGGCCCAGACUCCUACGGGAGGCAGCAGUCGGGAAUAUUGCGCAAUGGAGGAAACUCUGACGCAGUGACGCCGCGUGCAGGAAGAAGGUUUUCGGAUUGUAAACUGCUUUAGACAGGGAAGAACAAAGACAGUACCUGUAGAAUAAGCUCCGGCUAACUACGUGCCAGCAGCCGCGGUAAUACGUAGGGAGCGAGCGUUAUCCGGAUUUAUUGGGUGUAAAGGGUGCGUAGACGGGAAGUCAAGUUAGUUGUGAAAUCCCUCGGCUUAACUGAGGAACUGCAACUAAAACUGAUUUUCUUGAGUACUGGAGAGGAAAGUGGAAUUCCUAGUGUAGCGGUGAAAUGCGUAGAUAUUAGGAGGAACACCGGUGGCGAAGGCGACUUUCUGGACAGAAGCUGACGUUGAGGCACGAAAGUGUGGGGAGCAAACAGGAUUAGAUACCCUGGUAGUCCACACCGUAAACGAUGGAUACUAGGUGUAGGGAAUAUUAAAAUUCUCUGUGCCGCCGCUAACGCAAUAAGUAUCCCACCUGGGG
RNAcentral lists this ribosomal RNA (817 nucleotides) under uncultured bacterium. RNAcentral's name for it is "bacterial SSU rRNA". It matches the Rfam family "Bacterial small subunit ribosomal RNA", at positions 53 to 878 of the family's 1533-position model. The record is from RNAcentral.